AGUGGCUGUUCUUGCUGUUGAUUUUGUGAACAUUCUGGACUUUCAUCAGGUUGUCAUUUUGAUCCAUCUUUUUGCUCGAUUGUUUCGUUUUUGGGCGCAAAGCUAAAGGCAAGCUAGAGGCAAGCUGUGCCUGGGGCAGGGAAUGAUGCAAUCCUGUUUGCUUUGUGGGUUUUGGGUAGACAUGGAAUCAUGGUGCCUCCUUUUCUCCUCUUAUAGAAGUCCUAAAGUGCUGUAGCUAAUGGGGAGCACCGUGUGAAUUGACGAGCAUACCCUUUGGUGAUUGCACUUUCGCACUUUCUUUUUUGAAAAGUGGAAAGAUCAAUGAUCUCCAUUGCCGACCUCUUUGAAUAUUAUUAGAAGAGUUCCAC
This 368-nucleotide long non-coding RNA is filed under the name Eucalyptus grandis. RNAcentral's name for it is "long non-coding RNA (EGRA_LNC007945)". Lineage: Eukaryota; Viridiplantae; Streptophyta; Magnoliopsida; Myrtales; Myrtaceae. The record is from RNAcentral.